Oryza barthii is the source of this 207-nucleotide non-coding RNA. Lineage: Eukaryota; Viridiplantae; Streptophyta; Magnoliopsida; Poales; Poaceae. The record is from Rfam.
AAAAAAACAAACCGUGGAUUUCCAUGUCCAACGUUUAAUCAUCCGUUUUAUUUAAAAAAAUUAUGAAAAAAUUAAAAAGAUAACUCACGCAUAAAGUAUUAAAUCAUAUUUUAUCAUCUAACAACAAUGAAAAUAUUAAUUAUAAAAAAAUUUCAUAUAAGACGGACAGUUAAACAUUGGACACGGAAACAUAGAGUUUGUCUUUUU